UAGGCCAUCUCCAACCCAGCACCAAAUUUUGCACCAUUUUGCACCAAAUUUUGCACCAAAUCUUACACCAAACUAAAAUUCAUCUCCAACCAUUACACCAAAAAUUACACCAAAUGAACAGUAUUUAACCAUUUUCUUCCCUUUUUUUAUUCUUUAUAAUCUACUUAUUUGAAAUAUUAUUUAUUUAAUUAUUUCAGAAAUACAUAAAUUACUAAAUAAAUAAAUAAUUAAUCGUGUUUGAUGUAUUUUAAAUUAUUUUCGUCUUUUAAUUAAUUAAUUAAUUAUUAUGUCUUACAUUUAAAAUUUAUUUUAAACACAAAUAAUUAUUAAUAUUAAUAAAAAUAAUAAUAAUUUAUUGUAUUAAAAAAUAUAUAGCACAAAUUACAUAAAUACCCUCAACAAAUUUAUUUAGGAAAUGUAAAAUAAGGGCAAAAUUGGCAUUUUACACUUGCACCAUUUUGCACCAAAAUGGUGCAAAGUUUGGUGUUGGGUUGGAGCAAUUUUGCACCAAAAAAUGGUGCAAAAUGGUGCAAUGGUGUUGUGGUUGGAGAUGGCCUUAGU
This 561-nucleotide long non-coding RNA is filed under the name Olea europaea (common olive). Its description in RNAcentral is "long non-coding RNA (OEUR_LNC000388)". Lineage: Eukaryota; Viridiplantae; Streptophyta; Magnoliopsida; Lamiales; Oleaceae. The record is from RNAcentral.